Molecule: non-coding RNA, 21 nt
Filed under: Arabidopsis thaliana (thale cress)
Lineage: Eukaryota; Viridiplantae; Streptophyta; Magnoliopsida; Brassicales; Brassicaceae
Source: RNAcentral
AUAAGCUGAUUGUUGAGAUGC